CUUCUCGGGAGUGCUUGCUCGCAUGAAGGCCUUCUUUUUGGCUGAUCUAAAUUCUUUUUUCAAAUCUCUAAAAUCUUUUCAUAGGUUGAAGAUGAAUUUCUAGAGGAGAUGAAGAGGUGGAAGAAAGAUGAAGAAGAAAAUAAUUUUUUCUAAUUUAUUCUCUCUUUUCAAAUCCUUAGAACCAAAAAUCUGGUAUUUAGGUUUUUGCACACACCCC
RNAcentral lists this long non-coding RNA (217 nucleotides) under Elaeis guineensis (African oil palm). RNAcentral describes it as "long non-coding RNA (EGUI_LNC053231)". Lineage: Eukaryota; Viridiplantae; Streptophyta; Magnoliopsida; Arecales; Arecaceae. The record is from RNAcentral.